This 466-nucleotide ribosomal RNA is filed under the name uncultured bacterium. RNAcentral describes it as "partial 16S ribosomal RNA". It matches the Rfam family "Bacterial small subunit ribosomal RNA", at positions 28 to 507 of the family's 1533-position model. The record is from RNAcentral.
GACGAACACUGGCGGCGCGCCUAACACAUGCAAGUCGAACGAGCGAGAGAGAGCUUGCUUUCUUGAGCGAGUGGCGAACGGGUGAGUAACGCGUGAGGAACCUGCCUCAAAGAGGGGGACAACAGUUGGAAACGACUGCUAAUACCGCAUAAGCCCACGGUGCCGCAUGGCACAGAGGGAAAAGGAGCAAUCCGCUUUGAGAUGGCCUCGCGUCCGAUUAGCUAGUUGGUGAGGUAACGGCCCACCAAGGCGACGAUCGGUGGCCGGACUGAGAGGUUGAACGGCCACAUUGGGACUGAGACACGGCCCAGACUCCUACGGGAGGCAGCAGUGGGGAAUAUUGCACAAUGGGGGAAACCCUGAUGCAGCGACGCCGCGUGGAGGAAGAAGGUCUUCGGAUUGUAAACUCCUGUUGUUGGGGAAGAUAAUAACGGUACCCAACAAGGAAGUGACGGCUAACUACGUG